CGGAGGAAAAGAAACCAACCGGGAUUGCCUUAGUAACGGCGAGUGAAGCGGCAAAAGCUCAAAUUUGAAAUCUGGUACCUUCGGUGCCCGAGUUGUAAUUUGGAGAGGGCAACUUUGGGGCCGUUCCUUGUCUAUGUUCCUUGGAACAGGACGUCAUAGAGGGUGAGAAUCCCGUGUGGCGAGGAGUGCGGUUCUUUGUAAAGUGCCUUCGAAGAGUCGAGUUGUUUGGGAAUGCAGCUCUAAGUGGGUGGUAAAUUCCAUCUAAAGCUAAAUAUUGGCGAGAGACCGAUAGCGAACAAGUACAGUGAUGGAAAGAUGAAAAGAACUUUGAAAAGAGAGUGAAAAAGUACGUGAAAUUGUUGAAAGGGAAGGGCAUUUGAUCAGACAUGGUGUUUUGUGCCCUCUGCUCCUUGUGGGUAGGGGAAUCUCGCAUUUCACUGGGCCAGCAUCAGUUUUGGUGGCAGGAUAAAUCCAUAGGAAUGUAGCUUGCCUCGGUAAGUAUUAUAGCCUGUGGGAAUACUGCCAGCUGGGACUGAGGACUGCGACGUAAGUCAAGGAU
This 559-nucleotide ribosomal RNA is filed under the name Saccharomyces cerevisiae (brewer's yeast). Its description in RNAcentral is "partial large subunit ribosomal RNA". It matches the Rfam family "Eukaryotic large subunit ribosomal RNA", at positions 51 to 613 of the family's 3401-position model. The record is from RNAcentral. Lineage: Eukaryota; Fungi; Ascomycota; Saccharomycetes; Saccharomycetales; Saccharomycetaceae.